CAGGGAGCCCAGGGCAAUGUGACUACUUUGACUACUGGGGCCAGGGCACCAUGGUCACCGUCUCCUCAGCCUCCACCACGGCCCCGUCGGUCUUCCCACUGUCCCCCAAGUGUGGCACCACAUCCAGCUCCACGGUGUCCCUGGGCUGCCUGGUCUCUGGCUACUUCCCGGAGCCCGUGACUGUGACCUGGAACUCGGGCUCCCUGACCAGCGGCGUGCACACCUUCCCAUCCGUCCUCCGCUCGGGCCUCUACUCUAUGAGCAGCAUGGUGACGGUGCCCGCCAGCUCGUCCACCCAGACCUUCAUCUGCAACGUAGCCCACCCGGCCAGCAGCACCAAGGUGGACAAGAUCGUGCCCUUAACUGUCGGACCUCCCCCCACCUCUUGCCCGCCUCACACAUGCCCACCUUGUGAGAACCCGGGAGGGCCCUCGGUCUUCAUCUUCCCCCCGAAACCCAAGGACACCCUCAUGAUCUCCCGGACGCCCGAGGUCACGUGCAUGGUGGUGGACGUGGCCCCAGAUGACCUGGAUGUCGAGUUCACCUGGUACAUGGACGGCAACCAGAUGACCAAGAAGACGGUGAAGGCGGAGCAGGAGCAGUUCAACAGCACCUACCGUGUGGUCCACUCCUACGCCAUCACGCACCAGGACUGGCUGAAGGGCAAGAAGUUCAAGUGCAAGGUCAACAACAAGGCCAUCCCCUCCCCCAUCGAGAGGACCAUCUCCAAGGCCAUAGGGCAAGUCCAGGCGCCGCAGGUGUACGUCCUGGGUCCACACUCGGACGAGUUGGCCAGGGACAAGGUCAGCGUGACCUGCCUGGUCAAAGACUUCUUCCCGCCGGACAUCAGCGUGGAGUGGCAGAGCAACGGGCAGCCAGAGUCCGAGACCAAGUACUCCUCGACCCCGCCCCAGAAGGACCAGGAGGGCUCCUUCUUCCUGUACAGCAAGCUCACCGUGGACAAGGCCCGGUGGCAGCGGGGGGCCCCCUUCACGUGCGAGGUGAUGCACGAGGGCCUGCACAACCACUACGCCCAGAAGACCGUCUCCUGGAACCCGGGUAAAUGAGCAGCGCCCGGCGCCCGGCGACCCCCCAUGUACAUACCCUCGGCACCCAGCAUUCAAUAAAGCACCCAGCACGGCCCUGGGACC
Non-coding RNA from Myotis myotis, 1151 nucleotides. The record is from the annotation of a RefSeq genome assembly. NCBI's taxonomy places the organism in Eukaryota, Metazoa, Chordata, Mammalia, Chiroptera, Vespertilionidae.